RNAcentral lists this ribosomal RNA (253 nucleotides) under uncultured bacterium. Its description in RNAcentral is "partial 16S ribosomal RNA". It matches the Rfam family "Bacterial small subunit ribosomal RNA", at positions 524 to 776 of the family's 1533-position model. The record is from RNAcentral.
UACAGAGGAGCCAAGCGUUGUCCGGAUUGACUGGGCGUAAAGCGCACGCAGGCGGUUUGGCGCGUGGGGUGUGAAAUCUGGCCGCUUAACGGCCAGGCGCCAUCCCAUACGGCGCGACUGGAGGGCUGCAGAGGUCGAUGGAAUUGCCGGUGUAGUGGUGAAAUGCGUAGAGAUCGGCAGGAACACCCAGGGGGAAACCAGUCGACUGGGCAGCACCUGACGCUGAGGUGCGAGAGCGUGGGGAGCGAACCGG